GAUGAACGCUGGCGGCGUGCCUAAUACAUGCAAGUCGAGCGAACGGGCGAGAAGCUUGCUUCUCUGAUGUUAGCGGCGGACGGGUGAGUAACACGUGGAUAACCUACCUAUAAGACCGGGAUAACUUCGGGAAACCGGAGCUAAUACCGGAUAAUAUUUUGAACCGCAUGGUUCAAAAGUGAAAGACGGUCUUGCUGUCACUUAUAGAUGGAUCCGCGCUGCAUUAGCUAGUUGGUAAGGUAACGGCUUACCAAGGCAACGAUGCAUAGCCGACCUGAGAGGGUGAUCGGCCACACUGGAACUGAGACACGGUCCAGACUCCUACGGGAGGCAGCAGUAGGGAAUCUUCCGCAAUGGGCGAAAGCCUGACGGAGCAACGCCGCGUGAGUGAUGAAGGUCUUCGGAUCGUAAAACUCUGUUAUUAGGGAAGAACAUAUGUGUAAGUAACUGUGCACAUCUUGACGGUACCUAAUCAGAAAGCCACGGCUAACUACGUG
This 497-nucleotide ribosomal RNA is filed under the name uncultured bacterium. RNAcentral describes it as "partial 16S ribosomal RNA". It matches the Rfam family "Bacterial small subunit ribosomal RNA", at positions 28 to 507 of the family's 1533-position model. The record is from RNAcentral.